This is a long non-coding RNA of Melospiza melodia melodia, 342 nucleotides long. RefSeq lists it as uncharacterized. The record is from RefSeq and is a predicted model, not a curated record. The transcript is spliced from 4 exons. Lineage: Eukaryota; Metazoa; Chordata; Aves; Passeriformes; Passerellidae.
CCGCCCCCGGCCCGCCGGGAGGGAGGGAGGGCGGCUCAGCCCGGCCCGGCCCGGCCCGGCCCCCCUCAGAGCUUUUUGCAGCGUGAGGUGGAAGAUGAAGCUCCGGGGCUGAGGAGCCGCAGCUGGGAGGGAGCUGGAACUCAGAGUCGGGAGAGGCGGCGCCGUGCCCGGGGCAGGAUCCAUGGCCAGGCCGAGCGAGCUCUGAGUGCGCGGCGGAUUUGGGAUCCCCUUCCAUGGCAAUGUAUCCUACAAGGGUCUCGGGCGAGGAAUGCAACGGCAUCAACGCCAUGGCGGCCGAGAGCGGCCCGGGCACGCGGCUGCGGAACCUGCCCGUGCUGCCAG